RNAcentral lists this ribosomal RNA (114 nucleotides) under Gymnogobius scrobiculatus. RNAcentral describes it as "partial 16S rRNA". Lineage: Eukaryota; Metazoa; Chordata; Actinopteri; Gobiiformes; Gobiidae. The record is from RNAcentral.
ACUACUCUUAACAGCUAGCCCUCACCCCAAGAGCAACAAACACCAUCAAUAACCCCUCAUAACCAACACAACCAUUAACAAAUCAUUUUUCCUCCCUAGUAUGGGCGACAGAAA